Molecule: ribosomal RNA, 3442 nt
Filed under: Candidatus Syntrophonatronum acetioxidans
Lineage: Bacteria; Bacillati; Bacillota; Clostridia; Eubacteriales; Syntrophomonadaceae
Description: 23S ribosomal RNA
Rfam family: Bacterial large subunit ribosomal RNA
Source: RNAcentral
UUGGGUCAAGUUAUUAAGGGCGUAUGGUGGAUGCCUUGGUGCCAGGAGGCGACGAAGGGCGCAGCGAGCUGCGAUAAUCUUCGGGUAGCCGCAAGCAGGCGUAGAUCCGGAGGUACCCUAAUGGGGCAACCUGCUGCAGGUAAUUCUGCAGCAUGUCUGGUCCAAAGCCAUUAAACCGGACAGGUGAUACCCGGGGAACUGAAACAUCUUAGUACCCGGAGGAAAAGAAAACAAACGUGAUUCCCUCAGUAGCGGCGAGCGAAGGGGGAACAGCCCAAACCUGUACAGUGCCAAUCCUGCCGGAGUUGCUGUAUGGGGGUUGUGGGACACAGUGUGGGUAAGCGGCAGCUUACCCCAGGAGUUACCAAACCUUACCUUAGCCGAAUCAGUUGGGAAACUGAGCCACAGGAGGUGAAAGCCCUGUAGGCGAAAAGGUGAGGACUUCUGACUGUGCUCCCGAGUAGCGCGGGACACGAGGAAUCCCGUGUGAAGCAGGGAGGUCCACCUUCCAAGGCUAAAUACUACCUGGCAACCGAUAGCGGAUAGUACCGUGAGGGAAAGGUGAAAAGCACCCCUGAAGGGGAGUGAAAUAGAACCUGAAACCAUAUGCCUACAAGCGGUCAGAGCACCAUAAUAUUCUUCAUUGAAUAUUGGUGUGAUGGCGUACUUUUUGUAGAACGGGCCGGUGAGUUACGGUCAGCAGCCAGGUUAAGGGACCAGAUCCCGAAGCCGCAGCGAAAGCGAGUCUGAACAGGGCGAAUUAGUUGCUGGUCGUAGACCCGAAACCGAGUGAUCUACCCAUGGCCAGGGUGAAGCUCGUUUAACCGCGAGUGGAGGCCCGCACCCACCAAUGUUGAAAAAUUGGGGGAUGAGCUGUGGGUAGGGGUGAAAUGCUAAUCGAACUCGGAGAUAGCUGGUUCUCCCCGAAAUAGUUUUAGGGCUAGCCUCAAGGUAAGAAUUACGGAGGUAGAGCACUGAUUGGGCUAGGGGCCCUACAAGGUUACCGAACUCAGUCAAACUCCGAAUGCCGUAAUUUACUCCUUGGGAGUCAGACUAUGGGAGAUAAGUUUCAUAGUCGAGAGGGGAACAGCCCAGACCGUCAGCUAAGGUCCCCAAAUACGGGCUAAGUGGAAAAGGAUGUGGGAUUGCCCAGACAACCAGGAUGUUGGCUUAGAAGCAGCCAUCAUUAAAAGAGUGCGUAACAGCUCACUGGUCAAGUGAUCCUGCGCCGAAAAUUUAGCGGGGCUAAGCCCGUUACCGAAGCUACGGCUUAUUGGAGGUUAGAAGUUAGAAGUUGGAAACUGGAGGUGUGAAUGAUAUAAUUCAAAGCUACCAUGAUUUAGAUGUAUACCAACGUUCAUAUCGUUUGGCCUUGGAUAUACAUCGGAUGUCAUUCACACUGCCAAAAGUUGAGAGGUAUGAGCUGAGCAGUCAGAUAAGACGUUCAGCCGUCAGUAUCCCUUUAAAUAUCGCCGAAGGAUAUGGCAGGAAAGACUCUAAGGCAGAAUUUAAGCACUUUCUAAGAAACAGCUUGGGUUCCUGCAACGAAGUCCAAGUGCUACUCAAUAUGAUUAAAGACUUAAACUAUAUUGACGAAGCAAUUUAUGUAUCCUUUAAGGAAGAAUACGAUAUACUGGGAAAGCAGCUUAAUAAACUGCUUCAAACCUGGCGUAAAAUCCAACCUCCGACCUCUAACCUCUAACCUCCAAUAGGGGUAGGGGAGCGUUCUAAGACUGUGGAAGCCGUACCGUGAGGAGCGGUGGAGGUUUUAGAAGAGAGACUGCCGGCAUGAGUAACGAAAAGGUGAGUGAGAAUCUCACCCGCCGCAAGCCUAAGGUUUCCUGAGGAAGGUUCGUCCGCUCAGGGUAAGCCGGGACCUAAGCCGAGGCCGAAAGGCGUAGGCGAUGGACAACUGGUUGAAAUUCCAGUGCCACCUGUAGCCGUUAUGAGCGAAGGGGUGACGCAGGAGGGUAGGUACAGCGCACCGUUGGUUGAGUGCGUCCAAGCGUGUAGGUAGCAGGGACAGGAAAAUCCGUUCCUGUGUUGAUCCGAGGCGCGAUGGGGAGCGAAAAACAAGUAGCGAACUGGCCGAACCCACACUGCCUAGAAAAGCCUCUAGCCAGGCUUACGGGUGCCCGUACCGCAAACCGACACAGGUAGGUGAGGAGAGGAUCCUAAGGCGCUCGGGAGAACCCUCGUUAAGGAACUCGGCAAACUGACCCCGUAACUUAGGGAGAAGGGGUGCCCCGUUAAGGUGAAAGGACUUGCUCCUGGAGCCUGAGGGGGUCGCAGAGAAUAGGCCCAAGCGACUGUUUACCAAAAACACAGGUCUCUGCUAAGUCGAAAGACGAAGUAUAGGGGCUGACGCCUGCCCGGUGCUGGAAGGUUAAGGGGACGGGUUAGCACUUAGGUGCGAAGCUCAGAACCUAAGCCCCAGUAAACGGCGGCCGUAACUAUAACGGUCCUAAGGUAGCGAAAUUCCUUGUCGGGUAAGUUCCGACCCGCACGAAAGGCGUAACGACUUGGGCGCUGUCUCAACGAGGGACCCGGUGAAAUUGUAAUACCUGUAAAGAUACAGGUUACCCACGACAAGACGGAAAGACCCCGUGGAGCUUUACUGUAGCCUGAUAUUGGAUUCUGGUAUUGGAUGUACAGGAUAGGUGGGAGGCUUAGAAAUGUGGGCGCCAGCCUGCAUGGAGCCAUCCGUGGGAUACCACCCUUCCAGUAUUGGAAUUCUAACCGCGAGCCGUUAUCCGGUUUCGGGACAGUGUCAGGUGGGCAGUUUGACUGGGGCGGUCGCCUCCCAAAGAGUAACGGAGGCGUCCAAAGGUCUCCUCAGCGCGGUUGGGAAUCGCGCGCAGAGUGCAAAGGCAUAAGGGGGCUUAACUGCGAGAGAGACGUCUCGAGCAGUAACGAAAGUUGGGCUUAGUGAUCCGGCGGUACCAAGUGGUAGGGCCGUCGCUCAACGGAUAAAAGCUACCCCGGGGAUAACAGGCUUAUCUCCCCCAAGAGUCCACAUCGACGGGGAGGUUUGGCACCUCGAUGUCGGCUCAUCGCAUCCUGGGGCUGUAGUAGGUCCCAAGGGUUGGGCUGUUCGCCCAUUAAAGCGGUACGUGAGCUGGGUUCAGAACGUCGUGAGACAGUUCGGUCCCUAUCUGUCGUGGGCGUAGGAAACUUGAGGAGAUCUGUCCCUAGUACGAGAGGACCGGGAUGGACGGACCGCUGGUGUAUCAGUUGUUCCGCCAGGGGCAAUGCUGAGUAGCCAAGUUCGGAAGGGAUAAGCGCUGAAGGCAUCUAAGCGCGAAGCCUUCUCCAAGAUAAGGUUUCCCACCCGUAAAAGGGUUAAGACCCCAGGUAGAUGACCUGGUAGAUAGGCCGGGAGUGUAAGGGCAGCAAUGUCUUUAGCGGACCGGUACUAAUAGGUCGAGGACUUGACCCAUAC